GUUUCAUGAUAACUUAACGGAUCGCAUGGCCUUGCGCCGGCGAGGGUUCAUUCAAAUUUCUGCCCUAUCAACUUUCGAUGGAAGGUAUUGGCUUACCGUGGUUUCAACGGGUAACGGGGAGUGAGGGUUGGAUUCCGGAGAGGGAGCCUGAAAAACGGCUACCUCCUCCAAGGAAGGCAGCAGGCGCGCAAAUUACCCAAUCCCGACCCGGGGAGGUAGUGACAAUAAAUACUGAUACAGGGCUCUUUAGGGUCUUGUAAUCGGAAUGAGUACAAUUUAAACCUCUUAACGAGGAACAAUUGGAGGGCAAGUCUGGUGCCAGCAGCCGCGGUAAUUCCAGCUCCAAUAGCGUAUAUUAAAGUUGUUGCAGUUAAAAAGCUCGUAGUUGAAUCUUGGGCCUGGCUGGCCGGUCCGCCUCACCGCGUGUACUGGUCUGGCCGGGCCUUUCCUUCUGGAAAACCUCAUGCCCUUCAGUGGGUGUGUUGGGGAACCAGGACUUUUAC
RNAcentral lists this ribosomal RNA (503 nucleotides) under uncultured fungus. RNAcentral describes it as "SSU rRNA". It matches the Rfam family "Eukaryotic small subunit ribosomal RNA", at positions 248 to 755 of the family's 1831-position model. The record is from RNAcentral. Lineage: Eukaryota; Fungi.